CAUUAAAAAGCUUAAAGUAAGUCUUGAUCUUUUAAAUCAAUUAUGAUAAUCGCCUAUCUUUAGUGA
Molecule: transfer RNA, 66 nt
Filed under: Bemisia tabaci
Lineage: Eukaryota; Metazoa; Arthropoda; Insecta; Hemiptera; Aleyrodidae
Description: tRNA-Lys
Source: RNAcentral